UACGGGGGGAGCAAGCGUUGUUCGGAUUUACUGGGCGUAAAGGGCGCGUAGGCGGUCAGCACAAGUCAGUUGUGAAAUCUCCGAGCUUAACUCGGAACGGUCAACUGAUACUGUGCGACUAGAGUGCGGAAGGGGCAACUGGAAUUCUCGGUGUAGCGGUGAAAUGCGUAGAUAUCGAGAGGAACACCUGCGGCGAAGGCGGGUUGCUGGGCCGACACUGACGCUGAUGCGCGAAAGCCAGGGGAGCAAACGGG
Molecule: ribosomal RNA, 254 nt
Filed under: uncultured bacterium
Lineage: Bacteria
Description: partial 16S ribosomal RNA
Rfam family: Bacterial small subunit ribosomal RNA
Source: RNAcentral